RNAcentral lists this ribosomal RNA (253 nucleotides) under uncultured bacterium. RNAcentral describes it as "partial 16S ribosomal RNA". It matches the Rfam family "Bacterial small subunit ribosomal RNA", at positions 524 to 776 of the family's 1533-position model. The record is from RNAcentral.
UACGUAGGUGACCAGCGUUGUCCGGAUUUACUGGGCGUAAAGAGCGCGCAGGCGGUCGUUCAAGUCGAGUGUGAAAGCCCCCGGCUCAACUGGGGAGGGUCAUUCGAUACUGAUCGACUCGAAGGCAGGAGAGGGAAGCGGAAUUCCCGGUGUAGUGGUGAAAUGCGCAGAUAUCAGGAGGAACACCGGUGGCGAAGGCGGAUCUCUGGGCCUUGCCUGACGCUGAGGCGCGAAAGCUAGGGGAGCGAACAGG